RNAcentral lists this ribosomal RNA (274 nucleotides) under uncultured bacterium. RNAcentral describes it as "partial 16S ribosomal RNA". It matches the Rfam family "Bacterial small subunit ribosomal RNA", at positions 523 to 796 of the family's 1533-position model. The record is from RNAcentral.
AUACGGAGGGUGCAAACGUUGUUCGGAAUCACUGGGCGUAAAGGGCGCGCAGGCGGUUUGAUUAGUCAGAUGUGAAAGCCCACGGCUUAACCGUGGAAGUGCAUUUGAAACUGUCAGACUUGAGUACCAGAGGGGGUAGUGGAAUUCCCGGUGUAGAGGUGAAAUUCGUAGAUAUCGGGAGGAAUACCGGUGGCGAAGGCGACUACCUGGCUGGAUAUUGACGCUGAGGCACGAAAGCGUGGGGAGCAAACGGGAUUAGAAACCCUAGUAGUCC